CUUUAAGUGGUAUUCUAAAAAACGAUUUGGUUUUAUACAUUAACCCCUGAAUUUCUUAGAAUUCAACCCCACGCUCCUUUCUUAUAACUUAUCCAGUGACAUAGAAGGGGGCACGCUGCAGGAGGCUUCUUCGCGCCGGCGGCUGCCCACGCCUCCACUCUCCCUCAGUCCCUCCCCUUCCCUCCGGCCGGCUCUCUCGGGCUCUCCCUCCCCUGCCCUUGGGCUCCGACUCUCCCUUCCGCCUCCGGCCCUCUCGGUCUCUCCUCCGCCCAGCGCCCUGCUGCUGCUGCUGCUGCAGGGGAGGGAGAGGCCGAGAGAGACGGCUGGAGGGGAGGGGAGAGACUGAGAGAGAGUGGGAGAGCCGGAGAGGGGCGGCCGGCCUGAGCCGGACCUGCAGAACAGCGGCGCGGCAUGAUCUAGAGUACACACCUACAGAAGGCGGCAACAUAGGUUAGCGGCAACAACUCCAAAUCUGGCAAGCUCCUCGGCAGAUUGGUGUCAAACGGCCACUGGACAUGAAAGCAUGCAGUACACACACCUACGAAAGGCCAGACCUGAUGGG
This 562-nucleotide long non-coding RNA is filed under the name Triticum aestivum (bread wheat). Its description in RNAcentral is "long non-coding RNA (TAES_LNC011677)". Lineage: Eukaryota; Viridiplantae; Streptophyta; Magnoliopsida; Poales; Poaceae. The record is from RNAcentral.